Molecule: ribosomal RNA, 393 nt
Filed under: uncultured Haptoria
Lineage: Eukaryota; Ciliophora; Litostomatea
Description: partial small subunit ribosomal RNA
Rfam family: Eukaryotic small subunit ribosomal RNA
Source: RNAcentral
GCUUGUCUCAAAGAUUAAGCCAUGCAUGUCUAAGUAUAAAUAGUAUACAGUGAAACUGCGAAUGGCUCAUUAAAACAGUUAUAGUUUAUUUGAUAAUUGAACGCUACAUGGAUAACCGUGGUAAUUCUAGAGCUAAUACAUGCUACAAAACCAAACUUUUUGAAUGGUUGUAUUUAUUAGAUACCAAACCAAUAUUCCGCAAGGUCUAUUGUGAUGAUUCAUAAUAACUGAUCGAAGCGAACGAAGUUCGCUAAAUCAUUCAAGUUUCUGCCCUAUCAGCUUUCGAUGGUAGUGUAUUGGACUACCAUGGCAGUCACGGGUAACGGGGAAUUAGGGUUCGAUUCCGGAGAGGGAGCCUGAGAAACGGCUACCACUUCUAAGGAAGGCAGCAGG